AGAGUUUGAUCCUGGCUCAGAAUGAACGCUAGCGGCGUGCCUGAGAUAUGCAAGUCGAGCGGGCCCCUCACCAUUUUUCGUAUUAUUAGCAACAAGACUCGAUCUUAUAGCUAAUCUUUUACGAUAGGGAAAAUGGUGAGGGGUCAGCGGCGGACGGCUGAGUAACGCGUAAGAAUCUCCCCCAAAGUCUCACAUAGCUCACCGAAAGGUGGGGUAAUUUGAGAUAGUCCCCUCACCAUCUGUACAUUUCAUUGAGAUUAGAUACUAAAAGUUUUGUUUAAAAAAACAACUCUUUGAGUCCGAUUUCAAUAAUGGAGUUUACAGAUGGUGAGGGGUAAAGACUGCCGAUUCGGCAGGCGCUUUGGGAUGAGCUUGCGUCCUAUCAGGUAGUUGGUGGGGUAAAAGCCUACCAAGCCUACGACGGGUAGCUGAUCUCAUGAGGAUGAUCAGCCAGAGGGGGACUGAGACACGGCCCCCACUCCUACGGGAGGCAGCAAUCAGGAAUAGUCGGCAAUGGACGAAAGUCUGACCGCGCGACGCCGCGUGUGGGAUGAAGCUCCACAAGAGUGUAAACCACUGUGGUAGGGGAAGAGAAUGGACGGUACCCUACUAGAAAGUAGCCGCUAACUGCGUGCCAGAAGCGUCGGUAAUACGUGGGCUACAAGCGUUAUUCGGUGUUAUUGGGCGUAAAGGGUCGUGUAGGCUGAUCGAUAAGUCACUUUUCAAAUCUUUGGGCUUAACUCAAAAACUGGGAGUGAUACUGCUGAUCUAGAAGUAUCUUUAGGGAGAACGGAACUGUGGGAGGAGUAGUGAAAUGCGUUGAUACCCACGGGAACACCAGUGGCGAAGGCGGUUCUCUAUGAGAUUCUUGACGCUGAGACACGAAAGUUAGGGGAGCGAAGCAGAUUAGAGACCUGCGUAGUCCUAACUGUAAACGAAUGUAUGCUAGCUGCAUGAUUCCCCUCACCAUUUUUUACAACUUGGUUUUAAUUCAGAUAAUAGGAAGACGAAGUCGCAUCCGCGACAGUUCACUCUGAUUCACGAUAAUUGUUGUUGAAAAUGGUGAGGGGUUUCGUGUGGCGAAGGUAACCCGUUAAGCAUACCGCCUGGGGAGUACGGCCGCAAGGUUGAAACUCAAAGGAAUUGGCGGGGAGGCACACAACCAGAGGAACAUGUGGUUUAAUUCGAUACGAAACGAAGAACCUUACCAAGGCUUGACAUGCUACCGUUUUAGUCCGCAAGAAACUGUGGAUGAUCCGCAAGGAUGGUAGCACCGGUGAUGCAUGGCUGUCGUCAGUUCGUUCCGUGAGGAGUGCCCUUAAGUGGGACAACGA
RNAcentral lists this ribosomal RNA (1334 nucleotides) under uncultured Microgenomates group bacterium. Its description in RNAcentral is "partial 16S ribosomal RNA". It matches the Rfam family "Bacterial small subunit ribosomal RNA", at positions 8 to 1095 of the family's 1533-position model. The record is from RNAcentral.